RNAcentral lists this ribosomal RNA (787 nucleotides) under Chryseobacterium sp. RNAcentral's name for it is "bacterial SSU rRNA". It matches the Rfam family "Bacterial small subunit ribosomal RNA", at positions 578 to 1372 of the family's 1533-position model. The record is from RNAcentral. Lineage: Bacteria; Pseudomonadati; Bacteroidota; Flavobacteriia; Flavobacteriales; Weeksellaceae.
GGCUCGUAAGUCAGUGGUGAAAUCUCAUAGCUUAACUAUGAAACUGCCAUUGAUACUGCGGGUCUUGAGUAAAGUAAAAGUGGCUGGAAUAAGUAGUGUAGCGGUGAAAUGCAUAGAUAUUACUUAGAACACCAAUUGCGAAGGCAGGUCACUAUGUUUUAACUGACGCUGAUGGACGAAAGCGUGGGGAGCGAACAGGAUUAGAUACCCUGGUAGUCCACGCCGUAAACGAUGCUAACUCGUUUUUGGGUUUUCGGAUUCAGAGACUAAGCGAAAGUGAUAAGUUAGCCACCUGGGGAGUACGUUCGCAAGAAUGAAACUCAAAGGAAUUGACGGGGGCCCGCACAAGCGGUGGAUUAUGUGGUUUAAUUCGAUGAUACGCGAGGAACCUUACCAAGGCUUAAAUGGGAAUUGACAGGUUUAGAAAUAGACUUUCCUUCGGGCAAUUUUCAAGGUGCUGCAUGGUUGUCGUCAGCUCGUGCCGUGAGGUGUUAGGUUAAGUCCUGCAACGAGCGCAACCCCUGUCACUAGUUGCCAUCAUUCAGUUGGGGACUCUAGUGAGACUGCCUACGCAAGUAGAGAGGAAGGUGGGGAUGACGUCAAAUCAUCACGGCCCUUACGCCUUGGGCCACACACGUAAUACAAUGGCCGGUACAGAGGGCAGCUACUAUGCGAAUAGAUGCGAAUCUCGAAAGCCGGUCUCAGUUCGGAUUGGAGUCUGCAACUCGACUCUAUGAAGCUGGAAUCGCUAGUAAUCGCGCAUCAGCCAUGGCGCGGUGAAUACGUU